GUAGGUCACAGGCAUUCACUCCAGCUGCACGCUUUGCCUCCAGUGGUUCAGUCCACAAGUGAAAGUCUGCACAUGUGUCCAACACAUAGCUGUGGAGUGCAGACAGAUGCUUUUCCAGCAGGCAGUUAGCUUUCUAUGUAUCUAGGGAAUAACACUUAUAUGCACUUAGUGGUUUCUGUUGCAUGAGAUUCCAAUUGGGCACCUGAAUAAUGUUUCUGGCACAUGCCCUGUAACCCCAGUUGUACACUGAGAAUGUAGUGAAUCAUAGUCAAUAAGCAUCUAAAAGGCCUUUUCAUUUGGCUCUUAAGCUUCCUGAAAUUGUUUUCUAUUAAAUAAGGUCAUUCUAAUUUUUAAAUUAUCUUUAAUUUAUUGGAACAGGAGACUUGCAGGCAAGGGAGGCCCUUUUUUGCCCUCUCUACCUCCCUCAAGCCCAGCUGCAGAGUAUGACUUAGGGAGGUGUAAGGAUGGGGGAAUGGAAGGGAACUGCCAAAGCAGUCUCUGCUCCAGAUUUUCAGUAGCUGGUUUGCUGAGCCUUUGUCAGUCAUGAAAAAUGACUCACAGCUGUUCCAUGCACAGAUGUGUGGUGAUUGAAUUAAGGACUGAUAUUUGAGGUGGGUCUUAAAAGAAACAUAACUUGAAGGCAUCUCAGCAGCUUGGAGUGUCAAGUCUCACUUUAGCUUUGCCUGUCAGAUUCCGCCAGUUUUGGCAAAAAUAUGUGUUGGAAGUAGAUAGGAAUUAAGAGGUGGUGGGGAGCAUCCAGUGUUCAUUAAAAAAAACGAACAAACAAACAAAAAAAAAACAUUCCUCCCUGAUAAUGGGAAUGUAGGGAUCUUAGUGUUUUAAGUUUUCAAGAGCAUCAGAUGGUGGAAUUGACUGGACCUUUUAUCAGAGCUGUGAGGAUGGAAAGUAACUGAUUCCAAGUUAGAGCAAUCACUUUUUAAGAAUUAUGUUAAAUCCAUUGCUCCUUAUGGAAAUAGGCCUUUCUUAGAUCAGGGUUCUCACAUUUAAACAAGCUAAAAACUGAAUCUACUCUCUAAACCCUCUGAUCACCAUAAUGAUAAAAAGCUGAGCUGCCUGGUGUCCAUAGUCAAGGGAGUCAUUCAUCUGAAACAUUGUCAGGCUGCUCCAAAGGGACUAACCAGACCAGUGUCUAACACACAUAAUAUUACUGACUUCCCGUAUGGAGAAUCCAUUCAUUAGGAAAAAUUAACGGGAAGGAAGAUGCAUGAGUUUCAUGCCUUUUCCAUAAGGAAAAGAUUGCUUCUGCCCCAAAUUAAACAAGAUAAGGUGUGAUAUUUUUAUUUUCAAAAACAAUGGUAGGAGAUUUCCCAUCUAAAAACCCUAGGCUAGAUGCCUUCUAGCAUGUUGUCAUCUAGAACUUGGUUCAAUUCAAGGUUAAUUUUUAAGACUUAGGAUUUUCAUUCACUUCCAACUCCAUUUGAGGUACGAGUGCCUUGUUUGCUUGCUUAAUAUAUUUUGUAUUGUUCACUAGUUCCUCAGUUUGAUAUUUGCAAUUUAUUUAUAAUGCAAAGAAUAUGACAUGGGUAAUUCAGCUGGAUUGUAUAUUUGUAGCCUGCUCCCAGAAUGUCUUAUUUUGUAAUGACUGAACUAAAUCUAGUAAUAGUUAAACAUGUAUAUGGUUAAUAUAUAUGGAAAUACAAUAUAUUUUAUAGUUAAAGUAUUCUAAAGUAAUUGAUGUUUCUAGCAAAUUGUAGUGAUUUAAGGCUAAUGAAAUGUUUCUUUUG
Molecule: long non-coding RNA, 1745 nt
Organism: Sarcophilus harrisii (Tasmanian devil)
Lineage: Eukaryota; Metazoa; Chordata; Mammalia; Dasyuromorphia; Dasyuridae
Source: Ensembl